This 253-nucleotide ribosomal RNA is filed under the name uncultured bacterium. RNAcentral describes it as "partial 16S ribosomal RNA". It matches the Rfam family "Bacterial small subunit ribosomal RNA", at positions 524 to 776 of the family's 1533-position model. The record is from RNAcentral.
UACGGGGGGGGCAAGCGUUGUUCGGAAUUACUGGGCGUAAAGGGCUCGUAGGCGGCCAACUAAGUCGGAUGUGAAAUCCCCAGGCUCAACUUGGGAACUGCAUCCGAUACUGGAUGGCUUAAAUUCGGGAGAGGGAUGCAGAAUUCCAGGUGUAGCGGUGAAAUGCGUAGAUAUCUGGAGGAAUACCGGUGGCGAAGGCGGCAUCCUGGACCGACAUUGACGCUGAGGAGCGAAAGCCAGGGGAGCAAACGGG